GGAAGUUCCGCCGAGUGUUUGUGUGUGUGUGUUAGUGCUCUUGGACAGAGCACUGGAUAUAUAUGGAGGUGGACCUGGAGUCCAGGAUGCAGUGCAUCACCAGCUAAAAAUGGAUGCUAUGGUCACUCGAAGAACCAGUUGACCGGAAGUUCCAGCGAAUGUGUGUGUGUGUGUAUUGGCGAUUGUGGACAGAUCACUGGAUAGAUAUGGAGAUUUUGCAUCGAUUACUGGAUUUAUAUAAAUGGAGAUGUCGUCAUUCAAGACUCCAGAGCAUCGAAAACUUCUCCAGCACAUUCUUAGGAAGUAUUACUCCCUUUUAUAAGAAUUAUUUGGAAAAUCUUAAGUAAAUGCGCCGCUAUCCCCAUGAUAACCCAAUUAUUCCCUCCAUAAAGACUUGGGUUUCCCAGAGCCACAAGAGCUCCCUGCUUUCAGGAGCAAAUCUUACCCACGCCUGACAUAAUUAACCGUCGCAAAAUCUCGCCCAAAACUAAGACUCUCCUGCUCCUGGCCCCCCGUCCGCAGUAAUUUAGUGUAAACAAACCACUUGACUAUAUCUCGACGUACCGGCGGAAAAUCCACCGGUUCCCGCCUCACUUUUUAAGCCGGGUCCAUUGUUUGUGCCCCAUGGUUUCCAUUCCAUUCAGGGGAGUAUCCGUUGCUCGAGGAGCGCUCCGGAGCCCUCGGAGCUCCUGGAGCUCCGCAAUCAUUAGCUGUAACAUUAGCGUCUGUCUUGCGGUGCAAACUUUCGGCUACCUGAAACGCUUUUCCACCACCCACCUCCUCCCUGGGGUGGAAAAUCCAGCCCAAAAUGUGCAAGAAGCCCGGACAAAAGUCCUGCGGAAAAGCCGAGAGGACGAGGGAAUCCAAUGGCAAUGGUUAAACCUAUAAAACCACGUAAUCUCCAAGCGAGUUCUUUAAUUAUGCUGCACACAGCCACUGGAACUGGAAUUGGAACUGGAGCAUCAGGUGGCAAGUGGGAAAAUUGUGGGGGGGGAGGGGGAGGUAAAUGGUGGCGGCCAGGACACACAAACAGGCCUGAAGGACGAGAAAUCCUGAGGAGGAGCGAAGAGCAAACAAAAUGCGAGGCGAAAGCCGCUUACAAAACCGCAAAAUGCUACGGACAUCUUUUUGCCAGAUGGGCUGGGUUGGUGGCCCACUGUGGAGCUGGAAAAUGGGGAAAAAUUCAGGGGGAGCAGGAGCGUGGUUUUGCCGGAAAACUGGGGACAAAAAAGGCGAAUCCAAUGGCCACAAAAGGCAGCCAUUUUGAAGUUUGGCGCUGCGGCUUUGGUGUCUCCACAUCUGCCUGGGAUUACAAUGGAGCUGCACUUGUAGAUGAGAUACGAGACGGUGGCAAGCCCCGGGAAAGCGAGGAAAAGCGGCACAGGCCGAGUGCGAGAUGGAGAAGGCGACGGACUGGCGGACCGAUAAACAAACAAACUGCGAUCCGGCGAACACGGCUGCCAAUGCGAAACCAUUUUGCGAAUUUAAUUGCCGUUAACAUGAGGCGAGCUGCAUUUUACCCGAACUUUCGGAGCACGGAAAGAA
Long non-coding RNA from Drosophila biarmipes, 1545 nucleotides. RefSeq lists it as uncharacterized. Lineage: Eukaryota; Metazoa; Arthropoda; Insecta; Diptera; Drosophilidae. The record is from RefSeq and is a predicted model, not a curated record. The transcript has 3 exons.